Canis lupus familiaris (dog) is the source of this 693-nucleotide long non-coding RNA. RefSeq lists it as uncharacterized. Lineage: Eukaryota; Metazoa; Chordata; Mammalia; Carnivora; Canidae. The transcript is spliced from 3 exons. The record is from RefSeq and is a predicted model, not a curated record.
CCCAGGAAGGUUGGGUUUUGUCUUAACUAAAAUUUCUGGGAAGAAACAUAAAACUAAUUUGACCCCACAGCUGUCUGCAUCAUCCUGGUUGGUGGGACUGGGUGGCGCCCAGCAGGGGCAGCAGCCAGUGGAUUCUACACAGAAAGUGAGGUUCCAGCAGCUGAACUGGUCGCUGAGGAAAUUAAUUUACCCAGCACAGAUGAAAGCAGCAGAAGCAAAAGACAAAGAGGAUCUCCAGAAGAGGGAAGCUGUUUAGUGCAAAAAUAACAAAAGCAGAUGGAAGGGCAAGGAUCUUCAGCAUCAGUCUGGAAUGCAGCUUGUUCGGAAGUCCUGCUGUCAUGCUUACGGCAGCCUGCUUUUUCAAGGGAGGCCAGCCAAGCAGGCAUUUGUCAUGCAAAGAGCAGAGAUAGAACAAGAUCCACAAAAGGAACAUUAAGAGCACAAAAUCAGGCCAAGUGGCAAUAACCGUGACCUGCUGGGAAGCAGUAGCAGCACCUGGGAGAAAGUUCAUUAGGUGUGAUGGUGCAAGAAAAUGUUCCUGAGAAACUUUGAUCACAAAGAAGAUGUCUAGGGGAACCCUGGGUGGCUCAAUGGUUUAGUGCCUGCCUUCGGCCCACGGCAUGAUCCUGGAGUCCCAGGAUCGAGUCCCACAUCAUGCUCCCUGCAUGGAGCCUGCUUCUCCCUCUGUCUGUG